UUCGUAGGCGGUGUGGCAAGUCGGGAGUGAAAUCUCUGGGCUCAACUCAGAGGCUGCUUCCGAAACUGCUGUGCUGGAGUGUGGGAGAGGCGCGUGGAAUUGCAGGUGUAGCGGUGAAAUGCGUAGAUAUCUGCAGGAACACCCGUGGCGAAAGCGGCGCGCUGGACCACUACUGACGCUGAGGAACGAAAGCUAGGGGAGCAAACAGGAUUAGAUACCCUGGUAGUCCUAGCCCUAAACGAUCAGGACUUGGGGUGCCACCCGUUCGGGUGUCGUCCCGGAGCUAACGCGUUAAGUCCUGCACCUGGGGAGUACGGUCGCAAGACUGAA
RNAcentral lists this ribosomal RNA (330 nucleotides) under uncultured bacterium. RNAcentral's name for it is "bacterial SSU rRNA". It matches the Rfam family "Bacterial small subunit ribosomal RNA", at positions 568 to 898 of the family's 1533-position model. The record is from RNAcentral.